RNAcentral lists this ribosomal RNA (253 nucleotides) under uncultured bacterium. RNAcentral describes it as "partial 16S ribosomal RNA". It matches the Rfam family "Bacterial small subunit ribosomal RNA", at positions 524 to 776 of the family's 1533-position model. The record is from RNAcentral.
UACGUAGGGGGCGAGCGUUGUCCGGAAUUAUUGGGCGUAAAGGGCUCGUAGGCGGUUUGUCGCGUCGGGAGUGAAAACCUUGGGCUUAACUCAGGGCUUGCUUUCGAUACGGGCAGACUAGAGGUAUGCAGGGGAGAACGGAAUUCCUGGUGUAGCGGUGAAAUGCGCAGAUAUCAGGAGGAACACCGGUGGCGAAGGCGGUUCUCUGGGCAUGAUCUGACGCUGAGGAGCGAAAGUGUGGGGAGCGAACAGG